RNAcentral lists this unclassified non-coding RNA (280 nucleotides) under Basidiomycota sp. RNAcentral's name for it is "partial contains small subunit ribosomal RNA, internal transcribed spacer 1, and 5.8S ribosomal RNA". The stretch from base 1 to 47 matches the Rfam family "Eukaryotic small subunit ribosomal RNA", at positions 1785 to 1831 of the family's 1831-position model. The record is from RNAcentral. Lineage: Eukaryota; Fungi; Basidiomycota.
AAAGUCGUAACAAGGUUUCCGUAGGUGAACCUGCGGAAGGAUCAUUAUUGAAUUUAAUGUAGAGUUGGUUGUAGCUGGCCCUAAUUAAUCUUUGGGCAUGUGCACACCUUCUCUUUCAUCCACACACACCUGUGCACCUGUGAGGCAGAAGGGGACUUUUAAUUCAAUUUAAUUGGACCCUCUGUCUACUUAAUUCACACAAACUCUAUUUAUUUUAAAAUGAAUGUAAUUGAUGUAACGCAUCUAAUACUAAGUUUCAACAACGGAUCUCUUGGCUCUC